Molecule: ribosomal RNA, 108 nt
Filed under: uncultured bacterium
Lineage: Bacteria
Description: partial 16S ribosomal RNA
Rfam family: Bacterial small subunit ribosomal RNA
Source: RNAcentral
CCUUGUACACACCGCCCGUCACACCAUGGGAGUUGGUUCGACCUUAAGCCGGUGCGCCAACCUAGCAAUAGGGGGUAGCCGACCACGGUCGGGUCAGCGACUGGGGUG